ACCUGACUGCUAUCGGAUUGAUACUAAGCCAUGCGAGUCUUUGUAGUAAUACAAGGCAGACGGCUCAGUAACACGUAGUCAACCUACCCUAUGGACGAGGAUAAUCUCGGGAAACUGAGGAUAAUACUCGAUAGAUCAUAAUGCCUGGAAUGGUUUGUGGUUAAAAUGAUUCGUCGCCAUAGGAUGGGACUGCGGCCUAUCAGCUUGUUGGUGAGGUAAUGGCCCACCAAGGCGAUUACAGGUACGGGCUCUGAGAGGAGAAGCCCGGAGAUGGGUACUGAGACAAGGACCCAGGCCCUAUGGGGCGCAGCAGGCGAGAAAACUUUGCAAUGUGCGAAAGCACGACAAGGUUAAUCCGAGUGAUUUCUGCUAAGGAAAUCUUUUACCAGUCAUAAAACCACUGGUGAAUAAGGGGUGGGCAAGUUCUGGUGUCAGCCGCCGCGGUAAAACCAGCACCUCAAGUGGUCAGGAGGAUUAUUGGGCCUAAAGCAUCCGUAGCCGGCUCUGUAAGUUUUCGGUUAAAUCCAUGUGCUCAACAUAUAGGCUGCCGAAAAUACUGCAUAGCUAGGGAAUGGGAGAGGUAGACGGUACUCGGUAGGAAGGGGUAAAAUCCUUUGAUCUAUCGAUGACCACCUGUGGCGAAGGCGGUCUACCAGAACAUGUUCGACGGUGAGGGAUGAAAGCUGGGGGAGCAAACCGGAUUAGAUACCCGGGUAGUCCCAGCUGUAAACGAUGCAGACUCGAUGAUGCAUUGGCACAUAGCCAGUGCAGUGUCGCAGGGAAGGCGUUAAGUCUGCCGCUUGGGAAGUACGUGCGCAAGUAUGAAACUUAAAGGAAUUGGCGGGGGAGCACACAGGU
This 858-nucleotide ribosomal RNA is filed under the name uncultured archaeon. RNAcentral's name for it is "bacterial SSU rRNA". It matches the Rfam family "Archaeal small subunit ribosomal RNA", at positions 21 to 886 of the family's 1478-position model. The record is from RNAcentral.